Molecule: ribosomal RNA, 471 nt
Filed under: uncultured organism
Description: partial 16S ribosomal RNA
Rfam family: Bacterial small subunit ribosomal RNA
Source: RNAcentral
ACUCCUGCGGGAGGCAGCAGUGGGGAAUUUUGGACAAUGGGCGAAAGCCUGAUCCAGCAAUGCCGCGUGUGUGAAGAAGGCCUUCGGGUUGUAAAGCACUUUUGUCCGGAAAGAAAUCCUUGGCUCUAAUACAGUCGGGGGAUGACGGUACCGGAAGAAUAAGCACCGGCUAACUACGUGCCAGCAGCCGCGGUAAUACGUAGGGUGCGAGCGUUAAUCGGAAUUACUGGGCGUAAAGCGUGCGCAGGCGGUUUGCUAAGACCGAUGUGAAAUCCCCGGGCUCAACCUGGGAACUGCAUUGGUGACUGGCAGGCUAGAGUAUGGCAGAGGGGGGUAGAAUUCCACGUGUAGCAGUGAAAUGCGUAGAGAUGUGGAGGAAUACCGAUGGCGAAGGCAGCCCCCUGGGCCAAUACUGACGCUCAUGCACGAAAGCGUGGGGAGCAAACAGGAUUAGAUACCCUAGUAGUCCCA